UUGCCAAAUUUAAACCUACAUGUAAGCCCUCAAAUUAUUUUUUAUUACUUUAAAUUUAUUUCUUCAUUCAGUGAUUGUGUCCAGUGAUUGUAAGACAAUGUUACUUAAAGGGACUAAUACACUGGCUGGUAGUUGUGUAUCCAUGUUGGAUAUAUUUCAUAAUUUAGUGAAUACAUUAAAUGUACCAAUUCCUCAAGCUGUAAGAAUGCUAGCAGAAAACCCAGCAAAAGUGGCUGGUUUAAAAGGACUUGGUUCCAUUGCUAUAGCGAACAGAGCUGAUCUAUUAUUAUUUGACAAAGAUCUCACACUAACUGCAACUAUGGUGGCUGGAAAUACUGUCUGGAAGAAAUGAUAGCUCACCUUUGAAUUGAUGCAUAAUUGCAUAUUACAACGUACUUGCUUCAUAUGACUGUAUGACAAAAUAAAAUAAAUAUAAACAUGUAUGUAGUGAGGUAUGUUGCAUCUAUGUUAUAACAUAUACUUAUAUUAUAUUAGUUGAGUUUUAAUUUCAUUUAGUAAUUUUAGUUCUCUAUCUCUU
This is a long non-coding RNA of Amphimedon queenslandica, 538 nucleotides long. RefSeq lists it as uncharacterized. NCBI's taxonomy places the organism in Eukaryota, Metazoa, Porifera, Demospongiae, Haplosclerida, Niphatidae. The transcript is spliced from 2 exons. The record is from RefSeq and is a predicted model, not a curated record.